This 67-nucleotide transfer RNA is filed under the name Parasudis truculenta (longnose greeneye). RNAcentral describes it as "tRNA-Cys". It matches the Rfam family "tRNA". Rfam says of the family: Transfer RNA (tRNA) molecules are approximately 80 nucleotides in length. Their secondary structure includes four short double-helical elements and three loops (D, anti-codon, and T loops). Lineage: Eukaryota; Metazoa; Chordata; Actinopteri; Aulopiformes; Chlorophthalmidae. The record is from RNAcentral.
AGCUCUGCAGUUUUAGAAACAUUAGAUUGCAAAUCUAAAGAAGCGGGUUAGUUACCCGCCGGGGCUU